UGAGCAGUGAGGAAAAGAACUUGACAGAAAUGAACCGUGGUGAUUGUAUACGCUAUUCUGAGCCAGAA
This is a small nucleolar RNA of Nematolebias whitei (Rio pearlfish), 68 nucleotides long. RefSeq annotates it as small nucleolar RNA U54. The record is from RefSeq and is a predicted model, not a curated record. The transcript has a single exon. Lineage: Eukaryota; Metazoa; Chordata; Actinopteri; Cyprinodontiformes; Rivulidae.